This is a long non-coding RNA of Mustela erminea (ermine), 448 nucleotides long. RefSeq lists it as uncharacterized. NCBI's taxonomy places the organism in Eukaryota, Metazoa, Chordata, Mammalia, Carnivora, Mustelidae. The record is from RefSeq and is a predicted model, not a curated record. The transcript has 3 exons.
AUAGUAACAAGGCUCUGGAAGCUGAUGCAAUUUCCUGAAGGAGACGUGUCCCUGAGGUGCUAGAACAGGGUUCGAUGACCUUCCGGUGUGUGCUGACCCAGGUGUCCCUGAGAACGGCUUCAGGACACCCGGUGGAGGGCUUUUCCUUGAAAGGUCUGUCACCCAGUUUCACUGCCAAGACGGGUUCACGCUCCAGGGCCCUACAAAGAGGCUGUGUGUGAGACAUCUCAAUGGAACCCUCGGCUGGAUCCCCAAUGAUAAGCCCUUCUGUGCACAAGAAGAUUGCCGUAUCCCUCAAAUCGACGAUGCUGAGAUUCAUACCAGGACAUACAGACACGGAGACAAGCUGAUCGUCACCUGUCACGAGGGAUUCAAGAUCCGCUACCCUGAUCUGUACAACGUGGUUUCUCUGUGCCGUGAUGACGGGACGUGGGACAACCUGCCGCUC